Molecule: small nucleolar RNA, 133 nt
Filed under: Castor canadensis (American beaver)
Lineage: Eukaryota; Metazoa; Chordata; Mammalia; Rodentia; Castoridae
Description: Small nucleolar RNA SNORA51 (ENSCCNG00000023167.1)
Rfam family: Small nucleolar RNA SNORA51
About the family: ACA51 is a member of the H/ACA class of snoRNA that guide the sites of modification of uridines to pseudouridines.
Source: Rfam by way of RNAcentral
GGCCUCCUGGUGCUUACCACAGUCUGUGUUCUUUACACUGACUGUAUAGAAAGAGGAGGCAAAGUAAACCUAUCCCAUAUACACCUCAGCCCAGGCCCUGUGCCUGAUCUGUAUUGUGAAUGGGAAGACAUAG